GGGGAUAACUACUGGAAACGGUAGCUAAUACCGCAUAACGUCGCAAGACCAAAGAGGGGGACCUUCGGGCCUCUUGCCAUCGGAUGUGCCCAGAUGGGAUUAGCUAGUAGGUGGGGUAACGGCUCACCUAGGCGACGAUCCCUAGCUGGUCUGAGAGGAUGACCAGCCACACUGGAACUGAGACACGGUCCAGACUCCUACGGGAGGCAGCAGUGGGGAAUAUUGCACAAUGGGCGCAAGCCUGAUGCAGCCAUGCCGCGUGUAUGAAGAAGGCCUUCGGGUUGUAAAGUACUUUCAGCGGGGAGGAAGGGAGUAAAGUUAAUACCUUUGCUCAUUGACGUUACCCGCAGAAGAAGCACCGGCUAACUCCGUGCCAGCAGCCGCGGUAAUACGGAGGGUGCAAGCGUUAAUCGGAAUUACUGGGCGUAAAGCGCACGCAGGCGGUUUGUUAAGUCAGAUGUGAAAUCCCCGGGCUCAACCUGGGAACUGCAUCUGAUACUGGCAAGCUUGAGUCUCGUAGAGGGGGGUAGAAUUCCAGGUGUAGCGGUGAAAUGCGUAGAGAUCUGGAGGAAUACCGGUGGCGAAGGCGGCCCCCUGGACGAAGACUGACGCUCAGGUGCGAAAGCGUGGGGAGCAAACAGGAUUAGAUACCCU
Molecule: ribosomal RNA, 654 nt
Filed under: uncultured bacterium
Lineage: Bacteria
Description: bacterial SSU rRNA
Rfam family: Bacterial small subunit ribosomal RNA
Source: RNAcentral